AAAAAACAAGCAAAAAAAAAAACAGGGUUUUGGAUAUAAAUGGAUAGAAAUCUUCUUGCAGUACAGAGCUGCUCACAAGAUUCACAAGCGAAAUAGCUGCAUCAUCGUUGACAAAUGGUUGAAGUAAUUUGCAAGUUUUCUACUGUAGAUGAGUCUGGCGUAGCCACAGCUGAAGCCCCCCUUCCACUCAUCCUGGACGACGGAGUGGCUUACGAGGUCCGAGAAAUCCCGGAUUCCCGGCGCCAUGGUGGCCAACUUGAGUACCUAGUGGACUGGGAAGGUUAUGGUCCUGAGGAAUGUUCCUGGGUUCCACGCAACGACAUACUCGACCCG
Molecule: long non-coding RNA, 333 nt
Organism: Cyprinus carpio carpio
Lineage: Eukaryota; Metazoa; Chordata; Actinopteri; Cypriniformes; Cyprinidae
Source: Ensembl